AACACCACAGCUGUGGGGCUGAGGUUAGGCUCACUUUACAUGGUGCAGAAAGGGAGCUUUCUGGAAAAGUGACUUGGAGAGGGGAAAGUAGGUGAUCGCACUGAAGAAGGGGUUUCACCAUGCAGCUCCAGUGUGGGACCCCCAGGUAGGAACCAGUGGGACGUGGCCCUUGGCACACCUCCACCUGUUCAGCUCCCAACUCGGUGCUCCAGUGGGAGGCCCACUGCUGCAGGUCCCCAGGACAGGGUCUGUGCUGUGCCAGACAUGGGAACAGAUACAGGGGCAGGAUGCAGCAGGCCUGGCGUCUCCGUACCGCCGAUGGUGGCCAUUCUGCUCCUAUGACAGGAAACUACGGCCUGGUUCAGUCAGUGCUCGCGAAAUGUCAUGUGACCCCUAUUUCUGUUCAAGGCAGGAGGACCGGUCAGUUUCCUCCUUCUGAUGUAACAGACUUAACACCCUGGGCUUCUACUGUCAACAUUUUACACUGGCUGCAGGAGCCGUGGACACAGCUCCGAUGGGUCUGGCGUGGGGCUGUGUCAGUUACUAGGAAUGUCUGAAUAUCUUCUUCCUCGACUCCAUCACCGUGAAGAUGGGACUAAUAGAUAAUCUCCUUGGUGGAGAAUCGUGAGAAGAAAGGACAGGUUUCCUGGCAUAGCAGGGUCAAAAGUGUAGACACAUGUUCACACACUCUCUGCACUGUUCCUAGGUGAGUCACCUAACCUCCCUGAGUCUGUUUCUUCACCUAUACAAUGGGGAUAAUAUUAAAUCUUCCACACAGGAUCAGCAUAAGGAUUAAGGUCAACGCUAGUGGGUGAGUCUGGGGCCUCCCCAGGCCCACCCCAUAGGACCACAGGCCAUCACCUUGCGAUAAUAACAGCUCAUGUUCAGACUUCCUGAGUUGAAUCUUCCCCUCACCCGUUUACCAAUAAGGACCAGACAGACACAGGCAAGUUAAAAAGACUGGUGAGGCAGGAUCUGAACCCAGACGUCCAGCCACGGAGCCGUAAGUUAAAAAGACCAGUGAGGCAGGAUGUGAACCCAGACGCCCAGCCACGGAGCCAUCCUGCUUCUUGAUGGCAUGUCUCUGGUGGCCCAUCAGUUAGCUGGGGUGAGGCUCUGGAAGGAGUGCCUCUGCCCCGGCCAAGCUGCACAGGGCAGUUCUGGGUGCUCCGCUUGUGUCCAGGUGGGAGGCUCCUCGUGGGGCGCCUGUGCUGAGCCUGUGCUUGCUGGCGUUGCGGACUCCAGGGCUAGGGAAGCUCAAGUGUCAGGCGCUGCACGAUGCCCUUCUUCUCCUGGCUCCCAAGUUCUGACCUGCACCUUUGGAGGAAGUAUUUCUGCUUCCCAGUGGGAGAAAACACAAGUUGCAUCUCUUUACAAAGUUAAUAGUUGCCAUUUGCUUUUUCCUUUCUCAUCUUCUGAAUUCAGACUUGUGUAUGAUUCGGAAGCUUGAAGCUGUGCAGGUGGAGCUGGUGACAACUCUGUGCUUUGGCUGUCAGUGUAGAAAUGGGAGCCGCCCUCUCUGCUUCAGUUAUGAGGCUGAAAUGAACAUUGAAGCCCCUGUCCCAAGUCAGCCCUUUCCUGGCCACGAGCCCCCACUCCCUGGAGCACUGGCUCCCUCUGGGCCCCGUGCUUAGGAGUGAGAGGUGGUGCUCAGGAGCCCCUCAGCACACCCUAUUUUAAAGUUAUAUCACCGCUUAGAAAUGAAAAUAAGACACUUUAACUUUUCUCUUGAAUUCUGAAAAUUUCAAACAUGCACUUAUUGCCAGCUGUGCGUGUACUUCAUAAAUUAGUUCAGGUCACAGACA
Pongo pygmaeus (Bornean orangutan) is the source of this 1805-nucleotide long non-coding RNA. RefSeq lists it as uncharacterized. The record is from RefSeq and is a predicted model, not a curated record. The transcript has 2 exons. NCBI's taxonomy places the organism in Eukaryota, Metazoa, Chordata, Mammalia, Primates, Hominidae.